AGAGUCGCCCGGAUCACCGCGUUGUAGCAAUACACCGAGGAAAGUCCGGACUUCACAGAGCAAGGUGGUGGGUAACGCCCACCCGGAGAAAUCCGCGGGAUUAGUGCCACAGAAAAUAGACCGCACAUGCAAAUGUGUAAGGGUGAAACGGUGGUGUAAGAGACCACCAGUAUUUGUAGUGAUG
Molecule: RNase P RNA, 184 nt
Filed under: Actinomycetota bacterium
Lineage: Bacteria; Bacillati; Actinomycetota
Description: Actinobacteria bacterium partial RNase P RNA component class A
Rfam family: Bacterial RNase P class A
About the family: Ribonuclease P (RNase P) is a ubiquitous endoribonuclease, found in archaea, bacteria and eukarya as well as chloroplasts and mitochondria. Its best characterised activity is the generation of mature 5'-ends of tRNAs by cleaving the 5'-leader elements of precursor-tRNAs. Cellular RNase Ps are ribonucleoproteins.
Source: RNAcentral